RNAcentral lists this ribosomal RNA (1372 nucleotides) under uncultured bacterium. Its description in RNAcentral is "bacterial SSU rRNA". It matches the Rfam family "Bacterial small subunit ribosomal RNA", at positions 28 to 1381 of the family's 1533-position model. The record is from RNAcentral.
GAUGAACGCUGGCGGCGUGCCUAAUACAUGCAAGUCGAGCGAACGGACGAGAAGCUUGCUUCUCUGAUGUUAGCGGCGGACGGGUGAGUAACACGUGGAUAACCUACCUAUAAGACUGGGAUAACUUCGGGAAACCGGAGCUAAUACCGGAUAAUAUUUUGAACCGCAUGGUUCAAAAGUGAAAGACGGUCUUGCUGUCACUUAUAGAUGGAUCCGCGCUGCAUUAGCUAGUUGGUAAGGUAACGGCUUACCAAGGCAACGAUGCAUAGCCGACCUGAGAGGGUGAUCGGCCACACUGGAACUGAGACACGGUCCAGACUCCUACGGGAGGCAGCAGUAGGGAAUCUUCCGCAAUGGGCGAAAGCCUGACGGAGCAACGCCGCGUGAGUGAUGAAGGUCUUCGGAUCGUAAAACUCUGUUAUUAGGGAAGAACAUAUGUGUAAGUAACUGUGCACAUCUUGACGGUACCUAAUCAGAAAGCCACGGCUAACUACGUGCCAGCAGCCGCGGUAAUACGUAGGUGGCAAGCGUUAUCCGGAAUUAUUGGGCGUAAAGCGCGCGUAGGCGGUUUUUUAAGUCUGAUGUGAAAGCCCACGGCUCAACCGUGGAGGGUCAUUGGAAACUGGAAAACUUGAGUGCAGAAGAGGAAAGUGGAAUUCCAUGUGUAGCGGUGAAAUGCGCAGAGAUAUGGAGGAACACCAGUGGCGAAGGCGACUUUCUGGUCUGUAACUGACGCUGAUGUGCGAAAGCGUGGGGAUCAAACAGGAUUAGAUACCCUGGUAGUCCACGCCGUAAACGAUGAGUGCUAAGUGUUAGGGGGUUUCCGCCCCUUAGUGCUGCAGCUAACGCAUUAAGCACUCCGCCUGGGGAGUACGACCGCAAGGUUGAAACUCAAAGGAAUUGACGGGGACCCGCACAAGCGGUGGAGCAUGUGGUUUAAUUCGAAGCAACGCGAAGAACCUUACCAAAUCUUGACAUCCUUUGACAACUCUAGAGAUAGAGCUUUCCCCUUCGGGGGACAAAGUGACAGGUGGUGCAUGGUUGUCGUCAGCUCGUGUCGUGAGAUGUUGGGUUAAGUCCCGCAACGAGCGCAACCCUUAAGCUUAGUUGCCAUCAUUAAGUUGGGCACUCUAAGCUGACUGCCGGUGACAAACCGGAGGAAGGUGGGGAUGACGUCAAAUCAUCAUGCCCCUUAUGAUUUGGGCUACACACGUGCUACAAUGGACAAUACAAAGGGCAGCGAAACCGCGAGGUCAAGCAAAUCCCAUAAAGUUGUUCUCAGUUCGGAUUGUAGUCUGCAGCUCGACUACAUGAAGCUGGAAUCGCUAGUAAUCGUAGAUCAGCAUGCUACGGUGAAUACGUUCCCGGGUCU